ACGACUCUCGACAAUGGAUAUAUUGGUUCUCAUAUCGAUGAAAAAUGUAGCGAAAUGCGAUACUUGGUGCGAAUUGCAGAAUUUUGUGAAGCAUCGAGUUUUUGAAUGCAAGUUGUGCCCAAAGCCACUAGGCCAUGGGCAUGUCUGCUUGGGCGUCACGCUCAACACAAGUAAUGCCUUCGUGUUGAGGAGCGAAAGUUGGCCCCCAUGCUAUCUCAGCCCAAUCGGCCUAAAAGAUGGCCUCGAGUAAUGAGCAUCACGAUCUAUGGUGGUUUAGAACCCGUUUCGUCAUAGACUGACGCCGUGUUUGCCUUGUUGACCACUCGAGCUAUACAAACCCUUAUGUGUUGCAUCUGCCACUCAUUUUGUUACCUCGAGUCAGGCGAAACUAUUUGCUGAGUUUAAGCAUAUCAAUAUGCGGAGGAGAAGAAACUUACAAGGAUUCCUCUAGUAAUGGAAAGUAAACCGGGAUCAAACCAGCUUGAAAAUCGAGUGGCUUCGCAAUCCAAAUUGUAGCCUAUAGAAACGUCCUUAGAAAUGAACUUGUCCCAAGUCCCCUGAAACGGGGCACCAGAAAGAGUGAGAACCUCGUCGUGUCUGGACCAUGUAGCACCAUGAGGCAUUGUUGGCGAGUCGUGUUGUUUGGGAAUGCAGUCCUAAUUAGAUGGUAAAUUCUGUACAAGGCUUAAUAUUGGUGGGAUAGCGACAACGAAUAGGGACCUCUAGGGAAAAAUGAAAAGGACAUUAAAAAAAUAGUCAAAUAGUGCUUGAAUUUUUGGGAGGGAAGUGGUUGUGGGCUGGUGAUCCUCCUAGGUCGGAUGUAGAACGGUGUGAGUCGGUCCGACACUCGACUCUAGACGUCGACUGAUACGAAUUAUGGCGGUGGGCCAAGACCAAGCCCAAGCCGUUUACGUGCUUGUGGAUAUGUCAUCGUCAAGAUUGUGGUGGGUAAUGCGUGCCUUCGGCCUACCUAUGGCAACUGCACGCUCUCGGUUUCUGCCUACAGGCUUGCAAUUUGGUUCGUCAUGAAACAGGGACCAAGAGUCUAACAUGUGUGCGAGUCAAUGGGUGAGUAACUCGUAAGGCACAAAACAGCUGAUUGGUAGGAUCCCCUUGUGGGCUGCACCUCCGACGACCAAGACCUUUGGAGAAUGGUUCGAGUGUGAGCAUACCUAUUGGGACCCUAAAUAUGGUAAACUAUGCCUACGCAAGGAGAAGCCAAAAGAAACUAUUGUGGAGGCCCGCAACGAUACUGACGUGCAAAUAGUUUGUCUGACUUGUGUAUAAAGGUGAAAGACCAAACGAACCAUCUAGUAAAUGAUUCCAUCCAAAGUUUCCCUCGGGAUAGCAGAAGCUCAAGCGUGAGUUCUAUCGGGUAAAGCCAAUGAUUAGAGGCAUCGGGGGCGCAACGACCUCGACCUAUUCUCAAAUUUUAAAUAGGUAGGAAGAUGCAACUGCUUUGUUAAGCCGUACAAUGUUAUCGAGAACUUCAAGUUGGCCAUUUUUGGUAAGAAGAAUCGGUGAUGCGGGAUGAAUCGAAAGUCGGGUUACGGUGCCCAACUACGCACUAACCUAAAACCUACAAAGGGUGUUGGUAUAUUAGGACAGCAGGACGGUGGUCAUGGAAAUCAAAAUUCGUUGAGGAGUAUGUAACAACUCACUUGCCAAAUCACAUAGCCAAAGAAAUGGAUGCCGCUUAAGCGGAUGACCCACACCCAGCUGUUGGGGCAGUUGUUAGACCCUGAUGAGUAGGAGCGCAUGACGGUAGAUGCAAAUGAAGAGGGGUAGUAGCAAAUAUUCAAUUGAGAACUUUGAAGGCCGAAGAGGGGAAAGGUUUGAUGUAAACGACACUUGCACAUGGGUUUUUCAAUUCUAAAAGACGGGGUAACCCCGUUAGAGAGCACAAACUUCGAAAGGAUCAAGUUAAAAUUCUUGAACUGGGACGCGACGGUUGAUGGCAACGUUAGGAAGUCUUGAGACAUCAGGGAGGUCCUCGAAAAGAGUUAUCUUUUAUGUUUAACAGCUCGCCCAUCCCAAAAAUUGCUCAAUAAAAGGUAGGGUCCAGCAACUAGAACACUUCGCGUGUUGUCGGUGCAGCUCCGACAACCCUUGAAAAUUUGGAGGACCAAGUGCCAAUCGCGCCCGGUCGUAUUCAUAACCGCAUCAGGUCUCCAAGGUGAACAACGUCUAUUAGAUGGAACAAUGUAGGCAAGGGAAGUCAAUAAAAUGGAUUUGUAACCUCGAGAAAAGGAUUUGCUAUGAGGACUGGGCCCGGAGGUCUUUGUCCUGAACCUGGAGGCUAUCAGUAGACUGUUUGAGCAACUUUCAAGGUAAGAACUGGUCACUGCAUGCCGACUGGGGGAUGACUUGGAAUGGUCCCUUGGAUGACCUUCUCCAGGUGUCGAACAAUAGACUCAGAACUAGUACCGACAAGGGGAAUUCAACUGUUUUAAUUAAAACAAAGCAUUGCGAUGGUCUUUAUGGAUGCUAGAGCAAUUUGAUUUCUGCCCAGGGUCCUGAAUUUCAAAGUAAAGAAAUUCAACCAAGGGCAAAUAAACGGUGGGAGUGAUUAUCUUAAUGUUGCCAAAUGUCUCGUAAUCUGAUUAGUGGCAUGCAUUUAUGUAUUAACCAGAUUCCCACUAUCCCUAUCUAGUCCGACUUUGUGAAAUGACUUGAGAGGUGUAAGAUAAGUGGUAGGCGCUUGCGUCAAAAGUGAAAUACAACUACUUUUAACGUUAUUUUACUUAUUCCAUGAGUCAAAAGUGAAGCUUUUCCCUUUGGAUCCAAGGGUCGUCUCGACGAUCCGAUCCAGGAAGAAGACAUUGUCUGGUGGGAAGUUUGGCUGGGGCGACACAUCUGUUAAAAAAUAAUGUAGGUGUCCAAGUUUGAGCUCAAUGAGACCAAAAAUCUCGUGUGAGAUAGAAGGGUAAAUGCUCGUUUGAUUCUGAUUUCCUUUGAUGUUGACUCUUCCUAUCAUGUAAAGCAUAAUUCAAUAGUGUUGGAUUUUUCACCUACUAGUAGGGAACAUGAGCUGGGUUUAUAUCGUCAAAAUACAGGUUAUUUUUACCCUACUGAUGAUAGUUUCGCGAUAUUAAUUCAACCUAGUAUAAGAGGAAUUGUUGAUUUACACAAUUGGUCAUCGUGCUUGGUUGAAAAGCUAGUGGCACGAAGCUACCUUGUGCAGGAUUAUGACUGUUGCACAAAAUGUUCCAUGGGAACGGUCCAUGGAACAGUGUAAGGAUUGAUGGAACGUUCCAUCGAAUGAUCCAUGGAACGGUUCAUGGACUGAUGGAAUGAUGCAUGGACUGAUAGAACGAUCUAUGCAACAUUCCAUGUAAUGGUACAAGGACUAAUGGA
Molecule: ribosomal RNA, 3357 nt
Filed under: Berberis thunbergii
Lineage: Eukaryota; Viridiplantae; Streptophyta; Magnoliopsida; Ranunculales; Berberidaceae
Description: eukaryotic LSU rRNA
Rfam family: Eukaryotic large subunit ribosomal RNA (bases 369-3234)
Source: RNAcentral